This 586-nucleotide ribosomal RNA is filed under the name uncultured bacterium. Its description in RNAcentral is "partial 16S ribosomal RNA". It matches the Rfam family "Bacterial small subunit ribosomal RNA", at positions 355 to 1375 of the family's 1533-position model. The record is from RNAcentral.
UGGGGAAUUUUGGACAAUGGGCGAAANCCUGAUCCAGCAAUGCCGCGUGUGUGAAGAAGGCCUUCGGGUUGUAAAGCACUUUUGUCCGGAAAGAAAUCCUUGGCUCUAAUACAGUCGGGGGAUGACGGUACCGGAAGAAUAAGCACCGGCUAACUACGUGCCAGCAGCCGCGGUAAUACGUAGGGUGCAAGCGUUAAUCGAAAUUACUGGGCGUAAAGCGUGCGCAGGCGGUUUGCUAAGACCGAUGUGAAAUCCCCGGGCUCAACCUGGGAACUGCAUUGGUGACUGGCAGGCUAGAGUAUGGCAGAGGGGGGUAGAAUUCCACGUGUAGCAGUGAAAUGCGUAGAGAUGUGGAGGAAUACCGAUUGCGAAGGCAGCCCCCUGGGCCAAUACUGACGCUCAUGCACGAAAGCGUGGGGAGCAAACAGGAUUAGAUACCCUGGUAGUCCACGCCCUAAAACGAUGUCAACUAGUUGUUGGGGAUUCAUUUCCUUAGUAACGUAGCUAACGCGUGAGGUUGACCGCCUGGGGAGUACGGUCGCAAGAUUAAAACUUAAAGGAAUUGACGGGGUCAUAGCUGUUUCCU